RNAcentral lists this ribosomal RNA (492 nucleotides) under uncultured bacterium. Its description in RNAcentral is "partial 16S ribosomal RNA". It matches the Rfam family "Bacterial small subunit ribosomal RNA", at positions 29 to 507 of the family's 1533-position model. The record is from RNAcentral.
AGUGAACGCUGGCGGUAGGCCUAACACAUGCAAGUCGAACGGCAGCACAGUAAGAGCUUGCUCUUACGGGUGGCGAGUGGCGGACGGGUGAGGAAUACAUCGGAAUCUACUUAUUCGUGGGGGAUAACGUAGGGAAACUUACGCUAAUACCGCAUACGACCUACGGGUGAAAGCAGGGGAUCUUCGGACCUUGCGCGUUUGAAUGAGCCGAUGUCGGAUUAGCUAGUUGGCGGGGUAAAGGCCCACCAAGGCGACGAUCCGUAGCUGGUCUGAGAGGAUGAUCAGCCACACUGGAACUGAGACACGGUCCAGACUCCUACGGGAGGCAGCAGUGGGGAAUAUUGGACAAUGGGCGCAAGCCUGAUCCAGCCAUACCGCGUGGGUGAAGAAGGCCUUCGGGUUGUAAAGCCCUUUUGUUGGGAAAGAAAAGCAGCAGGUUAAUACCCCGCUGUUCUGACGGUACCCAAAGAAUAAGCACCGGCUAACUUCGUG